GACGAACGCUGGCGGCGUGCCUAACACAUGCAAGUCGAACGGGGUUGAGUGCUUCGGUAUUCAACUUAGUGGCGAACGGGUGAGUAACACGUGGGGAACCUGCCCCUAAGUCUGGGAUACCAUUUGGAAACAGGUGCUAAUACCGGAUAAUAAAGCAGAUCGCAUGAUCAGCUUUUGAAAGGCGGCGUAAGCUGUCGCUAAGGGAUGGCCCCGCGGUGCAUUAGCUAGUUGGUAAGGUAACGGCUUACCAAGGCGACGAUGCAUAGCCGAGUUGAGAGACUGAUCGGCCACAUUGGGACUGAGACACGGCCCAAACUCCUACGGGAGGCAGCAGUGGGGAAUCUUCCGCAAUGGGCGAAAGCCUGACGGAGCAACGCCGCGUGAGUGAAGAAGGCCUUCGGGUCGUAAAGCUCUGUUGUCGGGGACGAAUGUAGUUACCAUCAACAACCGUAACUAAUAGACGGUACCUGACGAGGAAGCCACGGCUAACUACGUGCCAGCAGCCGCGGU
This 510-nucleotide ribosomal RNA is filed under the name uncultured bacterium. RNAcentral describes it as "bacterial SSU rRNA". It matches the Rfam family "Bacterial small subunit ribosomal RNA", at positions 28 to 521 of the family's 1533-position model. The record is from RNAcentral.